Molecule: non-coding RNA, 185 nt
Filed under: Deltaproteobacteria bacterium
Lineage: Bacteria; Pseudomonadati; Myxococcota; Myxococcia
Description: 6S RNA
Rfam family: 6S / SsrS RNA
About the family: E. coli 6S RNA was the first non coding RNA to be sequenced, but its function was unknown until recently. It consists of 184 nucleotides that fold into an extended hairpin structure with a large single-stranded internal bulge.
Source: RNAcentral
CAACCUCUGGAAUGCGCGACAUAUUCCUGAUUGUGCUGACCAACUGAUCGAUUUCUUGCCCGGAGUCGGGUUGUGGUGAGCAAGCCCACACAUUGAGUGGGACGCCUGAAGCACCCAUGCUGGGUAUCAUUCAAAUUUACAGGUUCUCUCUAUUAGGGAGUAAAAGUCGGUAUUCUGGAGGUUGU